GAUGAAGAACGGUAGCGAAAUGCGAUAAGUAAUGUGAAUUGCAGAAUUCAGUGAAUCAUCGAAUCUUUGAACGCACAUUGCGCCCGCCAGUAUUCUGGCGGGCAUGCCUGUUCGAGCGUCAUUUCAACCAUCAAGCCCCCGGCUUGUGUUGGGGACCUGCGGCUGCCGCAGGCCCUGAAAAGCAGUGGCGGGCUCGCUGUCACACCGAGCGUAGUAGCAUACAUCUCGCUCUGGGCGUGCUGCGGGUUCCGGCCGUUAAACCACCUUCAUAACCCAAGGUUGACCUCGGAUCAGGUAGGAAGACCCGCUGAACUUAAGCAUAUCAAUAAGCGGAGGA
Molecule: unclassified non-coding RNA, 337 nt
Filed under: soil metagenome
Description: partial contains 5.8S ribosomal RNA, internal transcribed spacer 2, and large subunit ribosomal RNA
Rfam family: 5.8S ribosomal RNA (bases 1-121)
Source: RNAcentral